RNAcentral lists this ribosomal RNA (497 nucleotides) under uncultured bacterium. RNAcentral describes it as "partial 16S ribosomal RNA". It matches the Rfam family "Bacterial small subunit ribosomal RNA", at positions 28 to 507 of the family's 1533-position model. The record is from RNAcentral.
GAUGAACGCUGGCGGCGUGCCUAAUACAUGCCAGUCGAGCGAACAGACGAGGAGCUUGCUUCUCUGACGUUAGCGGCGGACGGGUGAGUAACACGUGGAUAACCUACCUAUAAGACUGGGAUAACUUCGGGAAACCGGAGCUAAUACCGGAUAAUAUAUUGAACCGCAUGGUUCAAUAGUGAAAGACGGUUUUGCUGUCACUUAUAGAUGGAUCCGCGCCGCAUUAGCUAGUUGGUAAGGUAACGGCUUACCAAGGCAACGAUGCGUAGCCGACCUGAGAGGGUGAUCGGCCACACUGGAACUGAGACACGGUCCAGACUCCUACGGGAGGCAGCAGUAGGGAAUCUUCCGCAAUGGGCGAAAGCCUGACGGAGCAACGCCGCGUGAGUGAUGAAGGUCUUUGGAUCGUAAAACUCUGUUAUUAGGGAAGAACAAAUGUGUAAGUAACUAUGCACGUCUUGACGGUACCUAAUCAGAAAGCCACGGCUAACUACGUG